GUGGGGGAUAACGUAGCGAAAGUUACGCUAAUACCGCAUAUUCUGUGAGCAGGAAAGCAGGGGAUCGCAAGACCUUGCGCUGAUUGAGCGGCCGAUAUCAGAUUAGCUAGUUGGUGAGGUAAAGGCUCACCAAGGCGACGAUCUGUAGCGGGUCUGAGAGGAUGAUCCGCCACACUGGAACUGAGACACGGUCCAGACUCCUACGGGAGGCAGCAGUGGGGAAUUUUGGACAAUGGGCGCAGGCCUGAUCCAGCCAUGCCGCGUGAGUGAAGAAGGCCUUCGGGUUGUAAAGCUCUUUCAGCCGGGAAGAAAACGCAUGGGUUAAUACCCUGUGUGGAUGACGGUACCGGAAUAAGAAGCACCGGCUAACUACGUGCCAGCAGCCGCGGUAAUACGUAGGGUGCGAGCGUUAAUCGGAAUUACUGGGCGUAAAGCGUGCGCAGGCGGUUUGUUAAGAUAGGCGUGAAAUCCCCGGGCUCAACCUGGGAACUGCGUUUAUGACUGGCAAGCUAGAGUAUGGCAGAGGGGGGUGGAAUUCCACGUGUAGCAGUGAAAUGCGUAGAGAUGUGGAGGAACACCGAUGGCGAAGGCAGCCCCCUGGGCCAAUACUGACGCUCAUGCACGAAAGCGUGGGUAGCAAACAGGAUUAGAUACCCUGGUAGUCCACGCCCUAAACGAUGUCAACUAGGUGUUGGGAGGGUAAAACCUUUUAGUACCGGAGCUAACGCGUGAAGUUGACCGCCUGGGGAGUACGGCCGCAAGGUUAAAACUCAAAGGAAUUGACGGGGACCCGCACAAGCGGUGGAUGAUGUGGAUUAAUUCGAUGCAACGCGAAAAACCUUACCUACCCUUGACAUGUCCGGAAGCCCUUAGAGAUUUGGGUGUGCUCGAAAGAGAGCCGGAACACAGGUGCUGCAUGGCUGUCGUCAGCUCGUGUCGUGAGAUGUUGGGUUAAGUCCCGCAACGAGCGCAACCCUUGUCGUUAAUUGCCAUCAUUUAGUUGGGCACUUUAACGAGACUGCCGGUGACAAACCGGAGGAAGGUGGGGAUGACGUCAAGUCCUCAUGGCCCUUAUGGGUAGGGCUUCACACGUCAUACAAUGGUCGGUACAAAGGGUCGCCAACCCGCGAGGGGGAGCCAAUCCCAGAAAGCCGAUCGUAGUCCGGAUCGUAGGCUGCAACUCGCCUGCGAGAAGUCGGAAUCGCUAGUAAUCGUGGAUCAGCAUGUCACGGUGAAUACGUUCCCGGGUCUUGUACACACCGCCCGUCACACCAUGGGAGCGGGUUCCGCCAGAAGUAGGUAGCCUAACCGCAAGGAGGGCGCUUACCACGGCGGGGUUCGUGACUGGGGUGAAGUCGAAACAAGGUA
RNAcentral lists this ribosomal RNA (1368 nucleotides) under metagenome. RNAcentral describes it as "bacterial SSU rRNA". It matches the Rfam family "Bacterial small subunit ribosomal RNA", at positions 136 to 1498 of the family's 1533-position model. The record is from RNAcentral.